AACGCGAUUCCUGAGUGUAGCAAUACAAACGGGAUGACUUCGGCGAAAGGGUGCGUAACGCGUGGGUAAUCUACCCUUGAGUUGGGGAUAACCUGCCGAAGGGCGGGCUAAUACCGAAUGUGGUGGUCUGGCGCAAGCCGGAUUGACUGAAGGCGGGGAUCUUCGGACCUGUCGCUCAAGGAGGAGCCCGCGUCCGAUUAGCUAGUUGGCGAGGUAACGGCUCACCAAGGCGAUGAUCGGUAGCCGGCCUGAGAGGGCACACGGCCACACUGGCACUGAAACACGGGCCAGACUCCUACGGGAGGCAGCAGUGGG
Molecule: small RNA, 315 nt
Filed under: uncultured bacterium
Lineage: Bacteria
Description: bacterial SSU rRNA
Rfam family: Bacterial small subunit ribosomal RNA
Source: RNAcentral